AAGGACACCAUCAAGCGGGGAGCAACACGGGUCCAGAUGCCAACGGAGGACAACAGAUGGAUGGGACACCACCAGCAGAGGGUGCUCCCCAUGGACUGAGCUAAUUCCCAGAGUGACCAGUGGGAGGCGCCACGGUGGACAUCAGUCCUGACAAGAUGCCCAACUUCUCUGCCCUGAGCCACCCAGAGGAAGAGACGACUACCUCCCCACCCCCAAAGAAGAACCUGUCUGUUCUCUUGAGUGCUAUUGAAGUCAAUGCAGCAGCUCUUCCCCUACACCAACUCUCCUAGGGAUCAGCGAACUUGCUUUCAUAGGCACACUUUGUUUUUAUCCACAUCUGGAAUGACUCAUGGUGCAUCACCUACUACAUUGGGCAGAAAAUGUCUAAAGGAGUCAACAUUCGUGAAGUGAAAAGGUAUUUGAUAGUUGCCUCCUUGAUGAUACUGGUCCACAUAACAAAAUACACUCAAUCUGACAUCAUUGAAAGAUUCUACUCAGGAGAGACCCAGAAUGGAAACAGCUCGGGAUAUACAGUGCCUAAAAACCCAUGAUGGACACAGAGAUAGACGGUGGCUCUAAUUCUUCUCUCACUUACACGUAUGUAAGCCAGGAGCAACUUCAAUGAAGUGAGUGGUGGCACACUGGGGUAAAAUUGGCAUACACGAGAAGAGAAUCCAGCUCAGAUUACAUAGAUUAGCAGAGUUACAGGGAAGGGCCAAGGAAUAGCAGAGGAUACUUCAAAUCAGGAGUGAUGUCCAUGGCAGGACUGCACAGAGGAAAAACCUGCACAGCCCUGGUCUCUCAGAUACCAUGCUCUAGCCAAGGCUACAAUUCCUUCACUAGCCCAA
Molecule: long non-coding RNA, 848 nt
Organism: Mauremys reevesii (Reeves's turtle)
Lineage: Eukaryota; Metazoa; Chordata; Testudines; Geoemydidae
Exons: 5
Source: RefSeq, a predicted model, not a curated record